GGCGCAGUUCGGUUAGCGCGUUCGACUGGGGGUCGAAAGGUCGGAAGUUCAAAUCUUCUC
Molecule: transfer RNA, 60 nt
Filed under: Candidatus Cloacimonadota bacterium
Lineage: Bacteria; Pseudomonadati; Candidatus Cloacimonadota
Description: tRNA-Pro
Rfam family: tRNA
About the family: Transfer RNA (tRNA) molecules are approximately 80 nucleotides in length. Their secondary structure includes four short double-helical elements and three loops (D, anti-codon, and T loops).
Source: RNAcentral